This 345-nucleotide unclassified non-coding RNA is filed under the name soil metagenome. RNAcentral's name for it is "partial contains 5.8S ribosomal RNA, internal transcribed spacer 2, and large subunit ribosomal RNA". The stretch from base 1 to 120 matches the Rfam family "5.8S ribosomal RNA", at positions 35 to 154 of the family's 154-position model. The record is from RNAcentral.
GAUGAAGAACGUAGCGAAAUGCGAUAAGUAAUGUGAAUUGCAGAAUUCAGUGAAUCAUCGAAUCUUUGAACGCACAUUGCGCCCCCUGGUAUUCCGGGGGGCAUGCCUGUCCGAGCGUCAUUGCUGCCCUCAAGCACGGCUUGUGUGUUGGGCCUCCGUCCUCCUCCCGGGGGACGGGCCCGAAAGGCAGCGGCGGCACCGCGUCCGGUCCUCGAGCGUAUGGGGCUUCGUCACCCGCUCUUGUAGGCCCGGCCGGCGCUUGCCGACACAUCAAUCUUUUUUCCAGGUUAACCUCGGAUCAGGUAGGGAUACCCGCUGAACUUAAGCAUAUCAAUAAGCGGAGGA